This 496-nucleotide ribosomal RNA is filed under the name uncultured bacterium. RNAcentral's name for it is "partial 16S ribosomal RNA". It matches the Rfam family "Bacterial small subunit ribosomal RNA", at positions 28 to 507 of the family's 1533-position model. The record is from RNAcentral.
GAUGAACGCUGGCGGCGUGCCUAAUACAUGCAAGUCGAGCGAACAGACGAGGAGCUUGCUCCUUCGGCGUUAGCGGCGGACGGGUGAGUAACACGUAGGUAACCUGCCUAUAAGCCUGGGAUAACUUCGGGAAACCGGAGCUAAUACCGGAUAACAUUGCGAACCGCAUGGUUCGUAAGUGAAAGAGGCCUUUGCUCCAACAUAUGAUUGACCCUCGCCGUAUUAGCUAGUGGGUAAGGUAACGGCUUACCAAGGCGAACUUCCGUAGCCGACCUGAGAGGGUGAUCGGCCACACUGGAACUGGGCCACGGUCCAGCCUCCUACGGGAGGCAGCAGUGGGGAUUCUUCCGCAUUGGGCGAAAGCCGGACGGGGCAACGCCGCGUGAGUGAUGAAGGUCUUCGGAUCGUAAAACUCUGUUAUUAGGGAAGAACGAUCUUGUAAGUAACUGUGCACGUCUUGACGGUACCUUAUCAGAAAGCCACGGCUAACUACGUG